AAUUAACGCUGGCAGAGUGCAUAACACAUGCAAGUCGAGCGGGGCUGUCUGAGAUUACAUCAACUGGCAGCCAAGCGGCAAACGAGUGAGUAACACGUAAGUAAUCUGCCCCUGAAAGGCGAACAACCAGCCGAAAGGUUGGCUAAUACGCCGUACAAUCCCUGGAAGGCAUCUUCCGGGGAUGAUAGGCCCGCAAGGGCCGUUCAGGGAGACUUGCGCCAUCAGCUAGUUGGCGGUGUAACGGACCACCGAAGGCUAUGGACGGGGUA
This 269-nucleotide ribosomal RNA is filed under the name uncultured bacterium. RNAcentral describes it as "partial 16S ribosomal RNA". It matches the Rfam family "Bacterial small subunit ribosomal RNA", at positions 29 to 285 of the family's 1533-position model. The record is from RNAcentral.